Molecule: ribosomal RNA, 465 nt
Filed under: Vreelandella stevensii
Lineage: Bacteria; Pseudomonadati; Pseudomonadota; Gammaproteobacteria; Oceanospirillales; Halomonadaceae
Description: partial 16S ribosomal RNA
Rfam family: Bacterial small subunit ribosomal RNA
Source: RNAcentral
CCUACGGGCGGCAGCAGUGGGGAAUAUUGGACAAUGGGCGAAAGCCUGAUCCAGCCAUGCCGCGUGUGUGAAGAAGGCCUUCGGGUUGUAAAGCACUUUCAGUGGGGAAGAAAGCCUUGGGGCUAAUACCCUCGAGGAAGGACAUCACCCACAGAAGAAGCACCGGCUAACUCCGUGCCAGCAGCCGCGGUAAUAUGGAGGGUGCGAGCGUUAAUCGGAAUUACUGGGCGUAAAGCGCGCGUAGGCGGUCUGAUAAGCCGGUUGUGAAAGCCCCGGGCUCAACCUGGGAACGGCAUCCGGAACUGUCAGGCUAGAGUGCAGGAGAGGAAGGUAGAAUUCCCGGUGUAGCGGUGAAAUGCGUAGAGAUCGGGAGGAAUACCAGUGGCGAAGGCGGCCUUCUGGACUGACACUGACGCUGAGGUGCGAAAGCGUGGGUAGCAAACAGGAUUAGAUACCCCAGUAGUC